This 285-nucleotide ribosomal RNA is filed under the name Enterococcus faecium. Its description in RNAcentral is "partial 16S ribosomal RNA". It matches the Rfam family "Bacterial small subunit ribosomal RNA", at positions 1 to 264 of the family's 1533-position model. The record is from RNAcentral. Lineage: Bacteria; Bacillati; Bacillota; Bacilli; Lactobacillales; Enterococcaceae.
UUUUAUGAGAGUUUGAUCCUGGCUCAGGACGAACGCUGGCGGCGUGCCUAAUACAUGCAAGUCGAACGCUUCUUUUUCCACCGGAGCUUGCUCCACCGGAAAAAGAGGAGUGGCGAACGGGUGAGUAACACGUGGGUAACCUGCCCAUCAGAAGGGGAUAACACUUGGAAACAGGUGCUAAUACCGUAUAACAAUCGAAACCGCAUGGUUUUGAUUUGAAAGGCGCUUUCGGGUGUCGCGGAUGGAUGGGCCCGCGGUGCAUUAGCUAGUUGGUGAGGUAACGGC